GGAUAUGCUGAGGGGAACCCAGGUAGCUGCUGCAUGCACAGUGGGUUUGUGUCACAGCAUCAAUUACUUUGGAUAAAUGCCCACCUCUAUACUGAGUGACCCUGGUAGACUGCCAACCACCAGACACAUGUGAAGCAAAAAUGCAUAGAACAGUAACUGGCACAGAGCAAAGGGAUAUGUUAAGUAUUAGUUAUGUUAAUUGUAAGUAUUUGUUAUAUUAAUAAAAUUGAUUAAACUC
Molecule: long non-coding RNA, 238 nt
Organism: Bubalus bubalis (water buffalo)
Lineage: Eukaryota; Metazoa; Chordata; Mammalia; Artiodactyla; Bovidae
Exons: 2
Source: RefSeq, a predicted model, not a curated record